UUGAAAAAGAACUUUGGAGAGAGAGUCAAAGAGACCGCGAAACCGUUAGGAGGGAAACGAAUGCAGCUCGAUGGGCUCCGGUUCGGGUUCAGGGGCGUUGGUGCCGCCGAAGCGGUUGGGCGGACUCGCAAGGGUCGUCUCUCCGCUUUSGGCGGUCCAUCGCUCUGCAUUCCCGGUCGGUAGYCGGUCAGCGUCGAUCCGGUUCGGCUCACGCGGGCGGUCGGGCAGGUGCCUCAAUGGGCGCGCUUGGCGUGCGCAGGGAGAACUUACAGCCGACCGCUCGGCAGCCGGACGUUGCGGACCGAGGAGUCGUGUGGUGCUUCACACAGGCAGCGCAGGCUCGUCUUCGGACGGGCCGGGUCUCUCCUGAUCGUUGGACGGGCGCGGCUGGGACUGCUCGCCAGUGCCAGUUCGACGUCCCGUCUCCUCGGUCGGGGGUUCGGCCACGCUUUGCGCUGCGGUCGCUGGCUUAAGGGCGGCUGCAUCCGACCCGUCUUGAAACACGGA
RNAcentral lists this ribosomal RNA (507 nucleotides) under Cymbastela stipitata. Its description in RNAcentral is "partial 28S large subunit ribosomal RNA". Lineage: Eukaryota; Metazoa; Porifera; Demospongiae; Axinellida; Axinellidae. The record is from RNAcentral.